ACGCUGGCGGCAGGCUUAACACAUGCAAGUCGAACGGUAACAGGGAUUAGCUUGCUAAUCUGCUGACGAGUGGCGGACGGGUGAGUAAUGCUUGGGAAUCUGGCUUAUGGAGGGGGAUAACUACGGGAAACUGUAGCUAAUACCGCGUAAAACCUUCGGAUUAAAGGGUGGGACUUUCGAGCCACCUGCCAUAAGAUGAGCCCAAGUGGGAUUAGGUAGUUGGUUAGGUAAAGGCUGACCAAGCCGACGAUCUCUAGCUGGUCUGAGAGGAUGACCAGCCACACUGGAACUGAGACACGGUCCAGACUCCUACGGGAGGCAGCAGUGGGGAAUAUUGCACAAUGGGGGGAACCCUGAUGCAGCCAUGCCGCGUGAAUGAAGAAGGCCUUCGGGUUGUAAAGUUCUUUCGGUGACGAGGAAGGUUGAUAGGUUAAUAGCCUAUCAAAUUGACGUUAAUCACAGAAGAAGCACCGGCUAACUCCGUGCCAGCAGCCGCGGUAAUACGGGGGGUGCGAGCGUUAAUCGGAAUAACUGGGCGUAAAGGGCACGCAGGCGGUGACUUAAGUGAGAUGUGAAAGCCCCGGGCUUAACCUGGGAAUUGCAUUUCAUACUGGGUCGCUAGAGUACUUUAGGGAGGGGUAGAAUUCCACGUGUAGCGGUGAAAUGCGUAGAGAUGUGGAGGAAUACCGAAGGCGAAGGCAGCCCCUUGGGAAUGUACUGACGCUCAUGUGCGAAAGCGUGGGGAGCAAACAGGAUUAGAUACCCUGGUAGUCCACGCUGUAAACGAUGUCGAUUUGGGGAUUGGGCUUUGAGCUUGGUGCCCGUAGCUAACGUGAUAAAUCGACCGCCUGGGGAGUACGGCCGCAAGGUUAAAACUCAAAUGAAUUGACGGGGGCCCGCACAAGCGGUGGAGCAU
This 916-nucleotide ribosomal RNA is filed under the name uncultured bacterium. RNAcentral's name for it is "bacterial SSU rRNA". It matches the Rfam family "Bacterial small subunit ribosomal RNA", at positions 33 to 940 of the family's 1533-position model. The record is from RNAcentral.